This 85-nucleotide transfer RNA is filed under the name Felis catus (domestic cat). It matches the Rfam family "tRNA". Rfam says of the family: Transfer RNA (tRNA) molecules are approximately 80 nucleotides in length. The record is from Rfam by way of RNAcentral. Lineage: Eukaryota; Metazoa; Chordata; Mammalia; Carnivora; Felidae.
GCCUGGGUGGCUCAGUCGGUUGAGCAUCCGACUUCGGCUCAGGUCAUUAUCUUGCAGUCUGUGAGUUCGAGCCCCGCAUCAGGCC